RNAcentral lists this ribosomal RNA (397 nucleotides) under uncultured bacterium. RNAcentral describes it as "partial 16S ribosomal RNA". It matches the Rfam family "Bacterial small subunit ribosomal RNA", at positions 523 to 918 of the family's 1533-position model. The record is from RNAcentral.
AUACGUAGGGGGCGAGCGUUGUCCGGAAUGAUUGGGCGUAAAGGGCGCGUAGGCGGCCCGGUAAGUCUGGAGUGAAAGUCCUGCUUUUAAGGUGGGAAUUGCUUUGGAUACUGUCGGGCUUGAGUGCAGGAGAGGUAAGUGGAAUUCCCAGUGUAGCGGUGAAAUGCGUAGAGAUUGGGAGGAACACCAGUGGCGAAGGCGACUGACAGGACUGUAACUGACGCUGAGGCGCGAAAGUGUGGGGAGCAAACAGGAUUAGAUACCCUGGUAGUCCACACUGUAAACGAUGAAUGCUAGGUGUAGGGGGUAUCGACCCCUUCUGUGCCGCAGUUAACACAAUAAGUAUUCCGCCUGGGGAGUACGGCCGCAAGGUUGAAACUCAAAGGAAUUGACGGGG